UACGUAGGUGGCAAGCGUUGUCCGGAUUUACUGGGUGUAAAGGGCGCGCAGCCGGGAAGACAAGUCAGAUGUGAAAUCCCGCGGCUCAACCGCGGAACUGCAUUUGAAACUGUUUUUCUUGAGUACCGGAGAGGUCAUCGGAAUUCCUUGUGUAGCGGUGAAAUGCGUAGAUAUAAGGAAGAACACCAGUGGCGAAGGCGGAUGACUGGACGGCAACUGACGGUGAGGCGCGAAAGCGUGGGGAGCAAACAGG
RNAcentral lists this ribosomal RNA (253 nucleotides) under uncultured bacterium. RNAcentral describes it as "partial 16S ribosomal RNA". It matches the Rfam family "Bacterial small subunit ribosomal RNA", at positions 524 to 776 of the family's 1533-position model. The record is from RNAcentral.